RNAcentral lists this ribosomal RNA (399 nucleotides) under uncultured bacterium. RNAcentral's name for it is "partial 16S ribosomal RNA". It matches the Rfam family "Bacterial small subunit ribosomal RNA", at positions 338 to 754 of the family's 1533-position model. The record is from RNAcentral.
CCUACGGGUGGCAGCAGUGGGGAAUAUUGCACAAUGGGGGAAACCCGGAUGCAGCAACGCCGCGUGAGUGAAGAAGGAUCGCGGUAGGGAAAGCUCGAACAGCAGGGAAGAAAAUGACGGUACCUGACUAAGAAGCCCCGGCUAACGCCGUCCCAGCAGCCGCGGUAACACGCAGGGGGCAAGCGUUAUCCGGAUUUACUGGGUGUAAAGGGAGCGGAGACGGUGUGGCAAGUCUGAAGUGAAAGCCCGGGGCUCCACCCCGGGACUGCUUUGGAAACUUUCAUGCUGGAGUGCUGGAGAGGUAAGCGGAAUUCCUAGUGUCGCGGUGAAAUGCGUAGAUAUUAGGAGGAACCCCAGUGGCGAAGGCGGCUUACUGGACCGUAACUGACGUUGAGGCUC